GGGCUCUGCGCAGCCGGAGCGCGGUCCCCCUUGAAGGCUCCCUGUCGCCUGCAUCCCAAAAACCCCGAGGUCAUUCUCUUAUUUCAACAGUUGAAUGCAACUUCACAGCUGGGAGAGAGUGAUUGUGAGGUAUGUGAUCUC
Budorcas taxicolor (takin) is the source of this 141-nucleotide long non-coding RNA. RefSeq lists it as uncharacterized. The record is from RefSeq and is a predicted model, not a curated record. The transcript has 3 exons. NCBI's taxonomy places the organism in Eukaryota, Metazoa, Chordata, Mammalia, Artiodactyla, Bovidae.